Long non-coding RNA from Pseudophryne corroboree (corroboree frog), 496 nucleotides. RefSeq lists it as uncharacterized. Lineage: Eukaryota; Metazoa; Chordata; Amphibia; Anura; Myobatrachidae. The transcript is spliced from 4 exons. The record is from RefSeq and is a predicted model, not a curated record.
UUUAAGAUACAACUGUGGGUCCUUUUGGAAGUUCCAGUUUAUUAAUAAUUAUCUUUACUCUGGAUAUACCUUUUGGGUGAUCCAGUACUAAAGAUGGAAAGGCUCUUUUUAGAGUCAAAGUGGGAAGCCACUUUUUAAGGUCCAUGUUCCUUUUAUAUAUGAAGAGCUUGCCUUUAUAUAAAGGUUGUUUUAAAAACAUCUUUACUGCAGAACUAUUGAUGUAAUAUUUUGAUCCUAACAUUUUUGCUACCCCUGAUGAAGUCAAAUAGACGAAACGCGUUGGGUUUAUCAGCUACAAAUCAGUAAUCCAGUUGAGGAUAACGCUCCCUUGUACCAAGUUUACACCUUGUUAAGGUGAGGGAGUUCGUACAUCCAUAUCACCUACUGGAUAUUUAUGGAAUCAUAAAAUAAUUUGUUUUCAUGUACAAUAGUUCAUAAGACCUUCUGUAUAAGGCUUUUUAUGAAUUCAUUUUGUUAUUAAAUAAUUUUAUGCUAA